UUUCCGUAGGUGAACCUGCGGAAGGAUCAUUAAAAAAUUGGACUCCAUUGGUGAGUUCAUUAAUAAUCCUACCCUUUGUGAAUUUGUUUGUUUGAAUAAUUUUUUUUCCAAAAAAAAUUAUUGAAUGUCUUUCCCUGUUUUGGUGGAGCUUGUAAAGUGAAACCAGGCAGGGGAAUGGCAAACAAUAAUUAUUUUUGAAAAAGACCUUUUUUAAAAUUAAACUUUUUGUAUUCAUUUGUCUAAAAUUAUUUUUAUAAUAUAAAAACAACCUUUGACAAUGGAUCUCUUGGUUCUCGCAACGAUGAAGAACGCAGCAAAAUGCGAUAAGUAGUGUGAAUUGCAGAAUACGUGAAUCAUCGAAUCUUCGAACGCAUAUUGCACUUUUUUAGUUUACUAAAAAGUAUGUCUGUUUGAGUAUCAGUAAAAUAUUCUCAUAAAAACAUUGUUUUUUAUGGUUAUGAGUGUUUUACAACGAUAACAAGUUGUUUCACUUUAAAUUCUUUGUUAUCAAAAAAAUCAUUAAAAGCUAAUUUUAAAGAUUUUUUAAAAUUGGAUAAAAUUUUCCCGUAAAAAGGAAUAACCUAAACAAUUUUAAAAAAUUAAAAUUGGUUUGAUUUUUCUUGAUAACAAAGGAAAAAAAAACGAAAUUAACUUGAUCUCAAAUCAGAUAAGAGUACCCGCUGAACUUAAGCAUAUCAAUAAGCGGAGGAAAAGAAACUAACUAGGAUUCCCUCAGUAACGGCGAGUGAAGCGGGAAGAGCUCAAAUUUGAAAUCUUCAAGGUUUUACCUUGACGAAUUGUAGUUUAAAGAAGUGUUUCUGUUGGAGUUUUGGUAAAAGUUCUUUGGAAAAGGACAUCAUAGAGGGUGAGAAUCCCGUAUUUGACCAUUAUCUCCAGCUUUGUGAUACACUUUCAAAGAGUCGGAUUGUUUGGGAAUGCAGUCCAAAAUGGGUGGUAAAUUUCAUCUAAAGCUAAAUACUGGCGAGAGACCGAUAGCGAACAAGUACCGUGAGGGAAAGAUGAAAAGAACUUUGAAAAGAGAGUUAAACAGUACGUGAAAUUGUCAAAAGGGAAGCGUUUGACACCAGUGUUGUUUUCUCGAAAAUCAAUUAAAAAAGGCCGGAUUUUGUGUUGUAUUGACUUUAUCAGCUUUCUGCACUUUUUUCUUGUCUUUUUUAAUGCACUUUUCGUUUAACAAGUCAACAUCAAUUUCUUUUGUUGUAAAAGGGUCAUUGGAAGGUGGCUUUCUUUUCGGAGAAAGUGUUUAUAGCCUUUGGCCUCUGCAAUCGGAGAGAUUGAGGUCUGCAGCGUAGAUCCUUCGGGUUAGAUACAUUUGUGCUAAGUUAUAGCCUUUCAUAGACAACUUGUUGACUAUGAUCAGUCAUGUAGCUUACUCGCUUAUGCUAUUUUACCUACGCUUAGGAUGUUGAA
RNAcentral lists this unclassified non-coding RNA (1431 nucleotides) under uncultured Neocallimastigales. RNAcentral's name for it is "partial contains small subunit ribosomal RNA, internal transcribed spacer 1, 5.8S ribosomal RNA, internal transcribed spacer 2, and large subunit ribosomal RNA". The stretch from base 654 to 1431 matches the Rfam family "Eukaryotic large subunit ribosomal RNA", at positions 1 to 630 of the family's 3401-position model. Lineage: Eukaryota; Fungi; Neocallimastigomycota; Neocallimastigomycetes; Neocallimastigales. The record is from RNAcentral.